GUAUGUAAGGCCGAUCUGGCUGUGACAUCUGUCACCUAAUGGAUUGCCAGGUUUGAUUUGGAUGAUCUGUUUGGCUAGGCGGGUGUCCCCUUCCUCCCUCACCACUCCACAUGCUUCUCUCCCAAAGUUGCACACUCAAUGGAAGAGGAGGACUGUGGUUUGAUCAAAGAUAUACAAGAAGCUUGUUGCCCUGCUCGAAAGUCCAAAAAGCUCUGAAGGUCCAUUUGUAGGAAAAGGUAGGAUAGUCAAGUUUCUAAGACUCCGGAGACAAUCAAAUGAGGUGCUACAUGUGGCAGUCUGCCUUUAUUU
Molecule: small nuclear RNA, 309 nt
Filed under: Felis catus (domestic cat)
Lineage: Eukaryota; Metazoa; Chordata; Mammalia; Carnivora; Felidae
Description: 7SK RNA
Rfam family: 7SK RNA
About the family: 7SK was discovered as an abundant small nuclear RNA in the mid-70s but a possible function has only recently been suggested.
Source: Rfam by way of RNAcentral